This 403-nucleotide ribosomal RNA is filed under the name uncultured delta proteobacterium. RNAcentral's name for it is "bacterial SSU rRNA". It matches the Rfam family "Bacterial small subunit ribosomal RNA", at positions 20 to 403 of the family's 1533-position model. The record is from RNAcentral. Lineage: Bacteria; Deltaproteobacteria.
CUGCUCAGAACGAACGUAGGCGGCAGGCCUAACACAUGCAAGUCGCACGAGAACGAUUCCCUUCGGGGAUUCUAGUAAAGUGGCGCACGGGUGAGUAACGCGUGGGUAAUCUACCUAAAGGUACGGAAUAACGUCUCGAAAGGGGCGCUAAUACCGUAUAAGACCACGGAUUCUGCGGAUUCUGUGGUAAAAGGGGGCCUCUCUAUAGAAGCUUCCGCCCUUAGACGAGCCCGCGUCCCAUUAGCUUGUUGGUGAGGUAACGGCUCACCAAGGCCGCGAUGGGUAGCUGGUCUGAGAGGAUGAUCAGCCACACUGGAACUGGAACACGGUCCAGACUCCUACGGGAGGCAGCAGUGAGGAAUCUUGCGCAAUGGGGGAAACCCUGACGCAGCCANGCCGCGUG